This 495-nucleotide ribosomal RNA is filed under the name uncultured bacterium. RNAcentral describes it as "partial 16S ribosomal RNA". It matches the Rfam family "Bacterial small subunit ribosomal RNA", at positions 28 to 507 of the family's 1533-position model. The record is from RNAcentral.
GACGAACGCUGGCGGCGUGCCUAAUACAUGCGAGUAGAACGCUGAAGGAGGAGCUUGCUUCUCUGGAUGAGUUGCGAACGGGUGAGUAACGCGUAGGUAACCUGCCUGGUAGCGGGGGAUAACUAUUGGAAACGAUAGCUAAUACCGCAUAAUAGUAGAUGUUGCAUGACAUUUGCUUAAAAGGUGCAAUUGCAUCACUACCAGAUGGACCUGCGUUGUAUUAGCUAGUUGGUGGGGUAACGGCUCACUAAGGCGACGAUACAUAGCCGACCUGAGAGGGUGAUCGGCCACACUGGGACUGAGACACGGCCCAGACUCCUACGGGAGGCAGCAGUAGGGAAUCUUCGGCAAUGGACGGAAGUCUGACCGAGCAACGCCGCGUGAGUGAAGAAGGUUUUCGGAUCGUAAAGCUCUGUUGUAAGAGAAGAACGAGUGUGAGAGUGGAAAGUUCACACUGUGACGGUAUCUUACCAGAAAGGGACGGCUAACUACGUG